RNAcentral lists this ribosomal RNA (439 nucleotides) under uncultured bacterium. Its description in RNAcentral is "partial 16S ribosomal RNA". It matches the Rfam family "Bacterial small subunit ribosomal RNA", at positions 342 to 795 of the family's 1533-position model. The record is from RNAcentral.
CGGGAUGCUGCAGCAGUGAGGAAUAUUGCACAAUGGGGGGAACCCUGAUGCGGCAACGCCGCGUGGAGGAUGACGCAUUUCGGUGUGUAAACUCCUUUUAUAUGUCAAGAAAAUGACGGUAGCAUAUGAAUAAGCACCGGCUAACUCCGUGCCAGCAGCCGCGGUAAUACGGAGGGUGCAAGCGUUACUCGGAAUCACUGGGCGUAAAGGACGCGUAGGCGGGUUGGAAAGUCAGGUGUGAAAUCCUACAGCUUAACUGUAGAACUGCACUUGAAACUUCUAAUCUAGAGUAUGGGAGGGGGAGAUGGAAUUAGUGGUGUAGGGGUAAAAUCCGUAGAUAUCACUAGGAAUACCUAAAGCGAAGGCGAUCUCCUGGAACAUUACUGACGCUAAGGCGUGAAAGCGUGGGGAGCAAACAGGAUUAGAUACCCCCGUAGUC